RNAcentral lists this ribosomal RNA (404 nucleotides) under Acidobacteriota bacterium. Its description in RNAcentral is "Acidobacteria bacterium partial 16S ribosomal RNA". It matches the Rfam family "Bacterial small subunit ribosomal RNA", at positions 355 to 776 of the family's 1533-position model. Lineage: Bacteria; Pseudomonadati; Acidobacteriota. The record is from RNAcentral.
UGGGGAAUAUUGGACAAUGGGCGCAAGCCUGAUCCAGCCAUGCCGCGUGAGUGAUGAAGGCCUUAGGGUUGUAAAGCUCUUUUGUCCGGGAAGAUAAUGACUGUACCGGAAGAAUAAGCCCCGGCUAACUUCGUGCCAGCAGCCGCGGUAAUACGAAGGGGGCUAGCGUUGCUCGGAAUCACUGGGCGGAAAGGGCGCGUAGGCGGACUCUUAAGUCGGGGGUGAAAGCCCAGGGCUCAACCCUGGAAUAGCCUUCGAUACUGAGAGUCUUGAGUUCGGAAGAGGUUGGUGGAAUUGCGAGUGUAGAGGUGAAAUUCGUAGAUAUUCGCAAGAACACCAGUGGCGAAGGCGGCCAACUGGUCCGAUACUGACGCUGAGGCGCGAAAGCGUGGGGAGCAAACAGG